AAUGAUAAACCAAACUAGUUGGGAUCGGAUCUACCCAGCUUAUUCAAGAUUAGCGGUUCAGCCUAGAACUCUCAAUUUGGGCCCAAUCUGAACAAUCUUCUUCAUCUAGGCGGAGCUUUGAUUAUUUGUUCCCAGCCGAAUAAAGGUUUGUUGUUUAGAUAUACACAUAUCGAUGCAGCCAAACAAACCGUAUUUAGUUCCACAGAGGGAGGGACGGAGCAAGAUGCUGGAACAAUGUCAUCGGAUCCGCUAUCAAAUUGAAUACCAAAACCGAAACUGGACUUCCAUGCUCCGAAAGCUCAAGUGCAAUGGCAAGUUUUCUUGCCUUUUUUUCUGAUAAUGGAAAAGAGGAACAAGAUAGUAAAGCCUUAGAAAGUGCACUUGGCGGAAAGAAAAAUGAGUUUGCGAAGUGAAACAAAGAGAUUAAGAGAAGAGACGAGGCAGGUGGUGGCGGUGAUGCUGGAGGAGGAGGAGGUUGAUUUGGAUUGGGGGUGACAGUUGGGGUUGUCCAAUGGUGAUCAUUUUUGGCAAGAAGUGCAACAGACAAGUCUUGCUGUGCUUGGCAUUAUCAUCAUGGUACACACUUUUCUUCAUAGUCUUGCUGUGCUUGACAGUAUCUCAUAGUUGCAAAAGGCGAAGCACUUCUUGCUGUGAUCUUCAAUCCAUUGUUGUAUGCUUUGCGAGGAACAAGAAACAGAUUCGGUUCCAUAACCUCAAGGUUCCUUCAGAAGGCCUCUCUUGAUGGUCCCGCUAAUUUUGAUGAUGGGUCAAAGAAGGAAUUCUAUUGGCAUCCCUCAGCUAAAGAGAGAGUUUUGAAAAGUGGGGAAGCGAUUAAUGUUCUGGUUUCAGGUUUGAAGUUUACUUAAAAUUCCUUAAUGUUAUAAAUGAAAUGAACAAUAUCAAGUUUUGUAAACUUAAUAAGCUAGGAUGAACAAGACCAGGCUAAGGAGUAAGGAGCAGCUUUUUGGUAUUGUAGAGAGUGCUUGCUUUUUGUAACUGGUAUUACUUGAUUUUGAAAUUCUAAUUUCCAUUCACAUGAAAUUGGAAUGAAGUAUUCUUAUCUAGUGAGAAACCUAGGCCAAAAUACACCUUAGCAAAGUCCAUAUGUAUGAACACUGGAGGAAAAGCUUGCCUUCUGUAAUGUUCUUAUUUGAUUGUUGAAACGUUAACGCUUCAUCAUAUAAAUUUAGAAAUAAGAAUUCUUAUUGAUCAGA
Mangifera indica (mango) is the source of this 1214-nucleotide long non-coding RNA. RefSeq lists it as uncharacterized. The transcript has 2 exons. NCBI's taxonomy places the organism in Eukaryota, Viridiplantae, Streptophyta, Magnoliopsida, Sapindales, Anacardiaceae. The record is from RefSeq and is a predicted model, not a curated record.